Molecule: ribosomal RNA, 670 nt
Filed under: Mortierella alpina
Lineage: Eukaryota; Fungi; Mortierellomycota; Mortierellomycetes; Mortierellales; Mortierellaceae
Description: eukaryotic LSU rRNA
Rfam family: Eukaryotic large subunit ribosomal RNA
Source: RNAcentral
AGUGAAGCGGGAUGAGCUCAAAUUUAAAAUCUGGCUGGUUUACUAGUCCGAAUUGUAGUUUAAAGAAGCGUUUUCGGUGGCAGCCUGGGUAUAAAUCCUUUGGAACAGGGUAUCAUAGAGGGUGAGAAUCCCGUCUUUGACUCAGUGCAUGCUACUAUGUGAUACGUUUUCAAAGAGUCGAGUUGUUUGGGAAUGCAGCUCAAAAUGGGUGGUAAAUUUCAUCUAAAGCUAAAUAUUGGCGAGAGACCGAUAGCGAACAAGUACCGUGAGGGAAAGAUGAAAAGAACUUUGAAAAGAGAGUUAAACAGUGCGUGAAAUUGUUGAAAGGGAAACGCUUGACACCAGUCAUGCGAGCGGAAAAUCAGUCUUUUGCAGUGGGGAGUGUGUGUGGGUUCGGACCGCAAGGCCGGCCUGCGCUUCAUCUCUGCUGUAAGUGAUGCACUUUUUCGUUUGCAGGCCAACAUCAGUUUCUUCUGCUGGACAAAACUCUUGAGAAGGUAGCAGCUUAGGCUGUGUUAUAGCUCUUGAGCGAUACAGUGGAGGAGACUGAGGUUUUCGCAGCGCGUGCUUUCGGGCAAGGCUGAUUGGGUGCUAUGGGAUCGUUCGGUGUACAAUGCAUGCAUUUUGCGCCGUGUCUUUUCUAUACUCGCUCAACUCGGCUCUCCGCGCU